UUCUUUCACAAGUUCAUUUAGGUUACAAACUUUUCAGCUUCUCCCAAAACUCCCCGAACUUCUCCCUCCUGCUUCUUCCCACCACCACCCGCGUCAUUCACCACCGCCAUUGCUACCCUACCCUCUACUAUCAUCUUCUCCAGCACCCAGGUCACCGAAAACACCGCCACCCCAGCCGCCUCAUCUCCUCUCUUGGGUAAGGAUCGACAAUAGCAAUCCUCAAUUUCGUUAUCGUUCUGCAAUUGAAGUUGAAGCUCGUCAAUAGGAAUCCCCAAUUUUUCUUUCAUCAUAUGUAACCAAGGUGCAACAAUUGCAGGGAUUUUUCUUCUCUCUCCUCAUUUAUCUUCCUCAACAAUGGAGAUUACUCCUCUUAUGACAGUUGAAAAACAUACGCCUAACUGACAUCAAUAGCCUGAGUUCGAGUGACAUUGUUGCGUGUUUCAGCUUUUGUUUAUCAAUAAUUACUGUUGCGUAUUGAAAUCCAAAUUACUUGCAUUGUCCAUCCGGUAGCAUACAGUAAGUAUUUUUAAUGACGUACCUAGCAGGGGUGAGUUAUGUAUUAAAGUUAAGGGAAGUGCUAAGAAGAUUAACGUUUCAUUUUCUGUCAAGAGUAGUCACACCAUUAUCACAUGCUUGUAUUUGAAUUUUAUGUGUAAUCGCUGCUUUGUCGUGUUAGGGAUGAUUCUAGUUGAAUUUUUUAAAGUUAACCUGGUUAAUUAUGCAUAUAUGACUAUAUAGAGAACAAGAAGAUUAAUUGGAGCUGGAUACUGUGUGUGCCGUGAUAGUACAAAAAUUAUAUUAUGAUAUAUUAGAACAUAAUUCUUUCCCUCCUCCCCCUCUUAAAAUAAUCCUUGGUAUGGAUUCUUUUCUUUUGACAUAAAUUAGCUUUCUUAAUUGGUGUUUGUUUUUAAGUUAAACCAAACACAACUAAUUUAAUUUUGAUUCUGUUGAAGUUCUUUAUGGAACAACUAUUACAAUAUGUAUUAUCACCCAUAUAUUAGGAUAAUGACAUAAUAUGGUGAAAUUUUCAUUUUAAAAAUGGUUAUUGUUACCACUUUCAAGAAUGUCUGAUGAACAUGAAUAUACAUGAAAAAAAUUGAAUCAUGAUGCCAUAUCUAUAAAAAUAAAGAAGAAAUAAGUAGUACUCCUAGCAUUUUAUAAGGACGACCCGUGUUUUUCAAUUAGUUGUUUUACGUUCUUCGGUACUUGUGCUAGUUUACAUAAAAACACGGAUAACGAAUCUUAACUUGUUGUUUAGUAUUGUUGCAGAUGAUUCAUUGGUGAGGAGAGCUUCAAUGGCUUCACAACGAAGUUUAGUAGAGAAGACGUACAGAACCUGAUGAUUGAGUUGAGGGAGUGCAUAGUUACAUUUUGCAGAUAUGAGAACACAUACAUGUUCCUACAUUAUGGUUCCAUGUUGAGGGAGUGCAUAGUUACAUACGUCAUCAAGUUGUAGCAAAUGCAGGAUACACCGCGGGACUAAGUUCAUGCAGCGUGGAGAGUCUGGAGACCAGAAUACGAUCAUGGCUUUAAGGAUACUAGUAUACUUCCAAUUAGUGAGCUGCUAAUGCAACAUUCAUAUGCUCUGGAGAAGCAGCCUGCCCCCCAUAUAUUGCUCACUGCUCACUGUGAUAAGAGUUCUAAACUCGACUUGCCAUUUUGUUGUGUGCAUGAUUCGACACUGGCUAGGACAAAUCAGUUGAUCCUUGUGGUUACAUACUUAGAUGCUUGUGAAAGUUUCCUCUCUGUAUAUAAUUUGUUAAAAUGCUCGUGUUAGUGUUAGUUGUGUUAACUUAUAUUGUUAUACAAUAUUAAAUAUUGAAUUCUUUACUUGUAAA
Molecule: long non-coding RNA, 1838 nt
Organism: Spinacia oleracea (spinach)
Lineage: Eukaryota; Viridiplantae; Streptophyta; Magnoliopsida; Caryophyllales; Amaranthaceae
Exons: 4
Source: RefSeq, a predicted model, not a curated record